GACGAACGCUGGCGGCGUGCCUAAUACAUGCAAGUCGAGCGAGCUGAACCAACAGGUUCACUUCGGCGAUGACGUUGGGAACGCGAGCGGCGGAUGGGUGAGUAACACGUGGGGAACCUGCCCCAUAGUCUGGGAUACCACUUGGAAACAGGUGCUAAUACCGGAUAAGAAAGCAGAUCGCAUGAUCAGCUUAUAAAGGCGGCGUAAGCUGUCGCUAUGGGAUGGCCCCGCGGUGCAUUAGCUAGUUGGUAGGGUAACGGCCUACCAAGGCAAUGAUGCAUAGCCGAGUUGAGAGACUGAUCGGCCACAUUGGGACUGAGACACGGCCCAAACUCCUACGGGAGGCAGCAGUAGGAAAUCUUCCACAAUGGACGAAAGUCUGAUGGAGCAACGCCGCGUGAGUGAAGAAGGUUUUUCGGAUCGUAAAGCUCUGUUG
RNAcentral lists this ribosomal RNA (436 nucleotides) under uncultured Lactobacillus sp. Its description in RNAcentral is "bacterial SSU rRNA". It matches the Rfam family "Bacterial small subunit ribosomal RNA", at positions 28 to 438 of the family's 1533-position model. The record is from RNAcentral. Lineage: Bacteria; Bacillati; Bacillota; Bacilli; Lactobacillales; Lactobacillaceae.